Molecule: transfer RNA, 75 nt
Filed under: Posidoniimonas corsicana
Lineage: Bacteria; Pseudomonadati; Planctomycetota; Planctomycetia; Pirellulales; Lacipirellulaceae
Also listed under: 3 other names
Description: Planctomycetes bacterium KOR34 tRNA-His
Rfam family: tRNA
About the family: Transfer RNA (tRNA) molecules are approximately 80 nucleotides in length.
Source: RNAcentral
GUGGCUGUAGCUCAGUUGGUUAGAGCGUCGGAUUGUGAUUCCGAAGGUCGGGGGUUCGAGACCCCUCAGCCACCC